Molecule: ribosomal RNA, 404 nt
Filed under: Paracoccus sp. (in: a-proteobacteria)
Lineage: Bacteria; Pseudomonadati; Pseudomonadota; Alphaproteobacteria; Rhodobacterales; Paracoccaceae
Also listed under: 2 other names
Description: bacterial SSU rRNA
Rfam family: Bacterial small subunit ribosomal RNA
Source: RNAcentral
UGGGGAAUCUUAGACAAUGGGGGCAACCCUGAUCUAGCCAUGCCGCGUGAGUGAUGAAGGCCUUAGGGUUGUAAAGCUCUUUCAGCUGGGAAGAUAAUGACGGUACCAGCAGAAGAAGCCCCGGCUAACUCCGUGCCAGCAGCCGCGGUAAUACGGAGGGGGCUAGCGUUGUUCGGAAUUACUGGGCGUAAAGCGCACGUAGGCGGACUGGAAAGUCAGAGGUGAAAUCCCAGGGCUCAACCUUGGAACUGCCUUUGAAACUAUCAGUCUGGAGUUCGAGAGAGGUGAGUGGAAUUCCGAGUGUAGAGGUGAAAUUCGUAGAUAUUCGGAGGAACACCAGUGGCGAAGGCGGCUCACUGGCUCGAUACUGACGCUGAGGUGCGAAAGCGUGGGGAGCAAACAGG